AGCAGCCGCGGUAAUUCCAGCUCCAAUAGCGUAUAUUAAAGUUGUUGCAGUUAAAAAGCUCGUAGUUGAAUUUCGGGGUCAAUAAGUUGGUCAUGCCAAUGGUAUGCCCUGGCUUUAUUGAUUCCUACCUCUUGACGAACUGUGAUGCCAUUAAUUUGGUGUUGCAAGGAAUCAGGACUGUUACCUUGAAAAAAUUAGAGUGUUUAAAGCAAGCUUACGCUUGAAUACAUUAGCAUGGAAUAAUGAAAUAGGACGUUUGAUCCUAUUUUGUUGGUUUCUAGGAUCGACGUAAUGAUUAAUAGGGAUAGUUGGGGGCAUUAGUAUUCAAUUGUCAGAGGUGAAAUUCUUGGAUUUAUUGAAGACUAACUACUGCGAAAGCAUUUGCCAAGGAUGUUUUCAUUAAUCAAGAACGAAAGUUAGGGGAUCGAAGACGAUCAGAUACCGUCGUAGUCUUAACCAUAAACUAUGCCGACUAGGGAUCGGAUGAUGUUAAUUUUUAAUGA
This 503-nucleotide ribosomal RNA is filed under the name uncultured Glomus. RNAcentral describes it as "SSU rRNA". It matches the Rfam family "Eukaryotic small subunit ribosomal RNA", at positions 569 to 1074 of the family's 1831-position model. Lineage: Eukaryota; Fungi; Glomeromycota; Glomeromycetes; Glomerales; Glomeraceae. The record is from RNAcentral.